UUGCCUUUCUUGAAGACAACUCUACUGAGGCCUCUGGUAAAGAGGUCGAGAGGCGAACUGGGACUGUGGAUGAUGAAAGUACUGGGAACGAUGGUGCUAAGCCUAGCUUUGUGAGGUUUCCAAAAACCCAGUCGGUUGUUCCUCCUCCUUUGGAGACUGAGGCCGAAGAGUCUGCCAAAACUUCCAAUCCUAUUAUACUCUGGCAGGUUUAUGCAUUGGGAGGAAUCCUUAUUGCAAGGUGGAUUUGGGCAAGAUGGAAUGAGAGGAGGCCUAAAGGGAGGAACCCCAAUGAUGAGAAUUCCCAAAAUAGGCGUUCUUCAGAUGAGAAUGAGGGUCGACCGUCUGGUAAUGAAUAGAGAUUUUGAUUUUCUAUAUAGCUUGGGUUGUUAGAUGUCUGAACUCACUUCGACAUCUUCUCAUUGGCUGUGUAAAUCGCCACUGUUUUAUAAAGCUCCUCUUUAGCUUCAUAGUAUUACAAAUCUUUUGCUUGACAUGUGAACUUUGACUCUUGCAGUCCUAUACUCCUCUUGAACUUUGAUGUUGCGUUUAUCAUUGUAUUAAAACCAACAACAUUUGUUUCAUGAAUUGAAUUUGAAUGUGUAUAGGGUUAGCUCUUAAUAAUUAUUCCUACUA
Molecule: long non-coding RNA, 633 nt
Organism: Neltuma alba
Lineage: Eukaryota; Viridiplantae; Streptophyta; Magnoliopsida; Fabales; Fabaceae
Exons: 2
Source: RefSeq, a predicted model, not a curated record